GCGGCGGCCACUUAGCGGCCGGAGAGCUCGCCAGUUGCCUCCGCCGCCGCCUUGGAAUCUGGGGACCCGACAGACGGCGAGACCCAGCCUCCGCCCGACCCCGGCGAGGCCGCGCGGCUGCUGCGCCUGCCCCACCCGCCGCACCUGGGAGCGGUGAUCACCAGGAGAGGUGGGGCGUGGCGAGCGGCUGGCCGGGCGCCGGAGCAGCUUCGCCAAAAGCCAGCCGGACCGGCGCAAGGCGGAGGGGGAGGGUCUCGGGGCAGAGGCCGGCUCCUCCGAGGGAGAGACCCCAGCUGGGGUGGAAAACGGCACAAACCAGCUGCACAGACGCUGGGCGCGGAUCAUGGAGCGGGCCAGCCCCGGCUCCGGGGAGUCGAAGCUGCAGCGGGACCAGGAUUCCGUGGAAGCGUGGCUGGAUGAUCACUGGGACUUUACCUGCUCUUACUUUGUUAGGAAAGCCACCAGGUAAGAAGAGGACCCCUGGAAGACCCACCCGGGGCGCUGAGAGUGACCUGGGGGCUCAUCUCUCUCCCUUACUGAAUUUUCCUCUUCCUUUACCAUUAAACGACCUCGGUUCCCAGGCCCUUUGCUUUUGAAGUAGGUCUUUGGUCCUGUUAGGGUGUAGACACCUCGACUUUAUGGCUAGUACAGUCGAAAAGCCCAAGCGUGGGAUUCGAUCCAACUUGCUCAAAAAGUUCAAUGCAAAAAUGUACAUGUGGACCCCCCCCCCACACACACACACACAGCCCGGCUGCCCCGGUAUUCCCUGAGAGCAAGAUUAUUUACAUACAUCCGCGCUCACGGGCCUUCCCCCAGCCCUUCUUUAGCCUCCUAGUCCCCCUAAAUCUCCUCAGCGAAACCAAAACAGUUUUGAGCCCCUUCCCUGCGGCUCCGGAAGCACCAUUUCCAACUCGGUCCCAGCAGCUCCGCUCCUCCCCCGUCCCCCCUCGCCCUGGCCCUUGGCGGGCGGGGAAGUCGGGGUAGGGGCGAGACCACGAGGAGCCCAAAGGCAGCAACAUGCCGGAGUCUUCCCAGAGUAAGCGCUGUCGCCUUUUGCCCCUUUCCAGUCCCUUGCUUGGCCCGGCGCUUCCUUUCACUCUCUCUUGCUCCCAAGGCGGCGCCGCUGAAAGGGCUCCGCAGAGGGGUUCGCGGCGCGCACACAAAGGGCGCUGGGGAGGCGCGGCGGGAGCCGACAGCGGGGCGCUGACGGGUCCCGCGCAGCCCCAGCCGACCCCAGAGGCCAGCUCUUCCCGGUCGAGAGCCAAGCGCCGGGCGGCCGCUGCCGAGGGCGGGGAGGAGGGUGCCUGUCCUUUGGGAGGUGGCUGCCCGGGGGGCAGUUGGGGCGCGCGUGGGAAAGGCUCCCGUAGAGUUGGGGAGGAAUUGAGGUUGAAGCCGAGGAAGGAGGGGCCGGAGCAGAGAGUGGAGGCGGGCGGAUGCCCUGAAGCCUGAGGAGUUGGUGAGAAGCCGCUGCGCGGGCAAAGGCUUCUACACGCGGACUCCGACUGACUCCAGGACGCGCCUCUUUGGAGAAGAGUCCCGGACCCGCCGCCGCCGCCGCCGCCGCCUCCAGGCAGCGGCCGUCGGGCAGCCGGCGCUGGCUGCCUUGGCCGCCAGGAAAGCGCACUCAGGGCGGUGAUGGUGGAGCGGCCGGCCGAGGCUCGGCGCUGGGCUCCCCCCCGCCGGCGUUCGGCCUCCGCUCUGCCGGGCGCUCCCCGCCAGGGGGCGGCGCAGCGCGGAGCGAGCGGGCUGCGGCGGGCGGCGGCCCGGUGGCGGGGUCGGUAAGGGAGCAGGCUUGGAGUCACCGCCUCCCCUGGGCACGUCGUCGCCCCCCGGCGCCUCCCGGAGUCCAGAGUCUGCGGAGGCCGCGUGGUCUGCACUUCGACCUUCCUAUGUUUGCUGUGUUGCCCUUUGGAGACAAAACAAGGCCGGUCUAGUAGACCACAACUACACACGCCCAGCCGGGACCCUGCGGAGCUUGACCACCCAGAACUGGGCGACCACGCCUACCCCCUGCGCCUGCGGACAGGCCAGCUCCGAAAAGCGCCCAGAGGACCUGCAGGCCCCGCCCCACGGGGCGGGGCCUAGAGGCUCAUCGCGCCUGCGCCGAGGCCCGAGGGCGUGCUGCGCCGUUACUUUUGAAACGAGUGGCGGGGAACUGCUGUGGGCGUCUCCGCCGUCGCUCUCUGCCGGGGGGAAGCGCACUCCUUCGUCUGUAGGACUGGCCAUGGCGCUGCAGCUCUCCCGGGAGCAAGGCAUCACCCUGCGCGGGAGCGCCGAAACCGUGGCCGAGUUCUUCUCAUUUGGCAUCAACAGCAUUUUAUAUCAGCGUGGCAUAUAUCCAUCUGAAACCUUUAAUAGAGUGCAGAAAUAUGGACUCACCUUGCUUGUAACAACGGAUCCUGAGCUCAUAAAAUACCUAAAUAAUGUGGUGGAACCGCCGAAAGGUAUUUAAUUGUUGCAAACCAUUUUGAGUUUUGCAGGCCUUGUAGAAACCCAUAUUUUCUGGCAUCUUGGUGGUCAUUUUUCAGCUCUGUACAAAAAGGUAUAAAACACUACAGCCUCAAAUAUAGUGAUUCUUAAUUGGAAGGAAGCAAAUAAUAUAUAAAUUGAAAGAAAGUCCACCCUUCCCAUACUGCAGUUUGAGUGGGUUGAAUAUUUUGAUAUUAGGAAUCUGAUAUGGCUUCACAAAACUGUCUCCAUCAACUUCCUUAGAAAUGAUUUUUGCAGUUCAUGUAGCCAGAUGGAACAAGUUGGAAUUUUCUGUCCUUAUGAUGGUGUUCACUAUCGGAGAAAAAUCCACUGUAUAUUUUUAACAUAUAUUUUCUGUAACUGCCUAGAGUUUAAAGCCAUCAUUACUUAAAGGAAAAUAAAAUUGGAUCCAACCUGGAAACUAAACUUAAAGAAAAGAACUACUAAGUAAUAGAGCACCCAGUAGAGUUUUAUUUUUUAUAUAUUUCCAUUUGUCUUUUUUAAAAUCCUGCCUUUAAUCAGUAAGCCUUUUCUAUCUGAACACUCACUGUUUUUCUUUAGCUCAAGAAAUUACUGUAUUGAAUCAAUACUUGUUCUCCAUCUAUUCCUUUUUCCCCUCAUAUUUUUCUCUACUUAGGAUUCUCACUUCUAAUUUUUCUGUUGUAGGAUGUUUCUCCCUAGCUCCCCAUUUGAUCUUCCAAAACUAGUUCCAAAAAACACUAGUCAUCAUUUUUUCUUAAUUCAUGAGUCAUAUAUAUUUCUUUGUAUCAAGUAGCUUUAUUUUUAAAAUUAGAUUAAUUGGGUUUUUUUUUUUGGAUUAUCUUCAGGGCUAAAAAGUAAGAUUAUUAGUAAGCAACUAAUAAUCUAUAUCAUCU
Long non-coding RNA from Mirounga angustirostris (Northern elephant seal), 3344 nucleotides. RefSeq lists it as uncharacterized. The record is from RefSeq and is a predicted model, not a curated record. The transcript is spliced from 3 exons. NCBI's taxonomy places the organism in Eukaryota, Metazoa, Chordata, Mammalia, Carnivora, Phocidae.